CUUGCUAUGGUAUAAUUUAGUGGCAGACGGGUGAGUAAUGUAUAGGAAUCUACCUAGUAGUACGGAAUAAUUGUUGGAAACUGCAACUAAUACCGUAUACGCCCCACGGGGAAAAAUUUAUUGCUAUUAGAUGAGCCUAUAUUGGAUUAGCUUGUUGGUAAGGUAAUAGCUUACCAAGGCAAUGAUCUAUAGCUGAUCUGAGAGGAUGAUCAGCCACACUGGAACUGAGAUACGGUCCAGCCUCCUACGGGAGGCAGCAGUGGGGAAUAUUGGACAAUGGGCGAAAGCCUGAUCCAGCUAUGCCGCAUGAGUGAAGAAGGCCUUUGGGUUGUAAAGCUCUUUUAGUGAGGAAGAUAAUGACGGUACUCACAGAAGAAGUCCUGGCUAACUCCGUGCCAGCAGCCGCGGUAAUACGGAGAGGGCUAGCGUUAUUCGGAAUUAUUGGGCGUAAAGGGCGCGUAGGCUGAUUAAUAAGUUAAAAGUGAAAUCCCGAGGCUUAACCUUGGAAUUGCUUUUAAAACUGUUAAUCUAGAGAUUGAAAGAGGAUAGAGGAAUUCCUGAUGUAGAGGUAAAAUUCGUAAAUAUUAGGAGGAACACCAGUGGCGAAGGCGUCUAUCUAGUUCAAAUCUGACGCUGAGGCGCGAAGGCGUGGGGAGCAAACAGGAUUAGAUACCCUGGUAGUCCACGCUGUAAACGAUGAAUGUUAAAUAUGGGAAAUUUAUUUUCUGUAUUACAGCUAACGCGUUAAACAUUCCGCCUGGGGACUACGGUCGCAAGAUUAAAACUCAAAGGAAUUGACGGGG
RNAcentral lists this ribosomal RNA (803 nucleotides) under Wolbachia sp. RNAcentral describes it as "bacterial SSU rRNA". It matches the Rfam family "Bacterial small subunit ribosomal RNA", at positions 76 to 918 of the family's 1533-position model. The record is from RNAcentral. Lineage: Bacteria; Pseudomonadati; Pseudomonadota; Alphaproteobacteria; Rickettsiales; Anaplasmataceae.